UUGAGUUCAGCAACCAUUAGCCAGUCACCACGACAAAAUAUAUUAGUAGUUUGCACUUCAUGUUCCAAGGGGCUAGCAGAAAGUUAAGAGACUAUUUAUACAACUAGAUGCUUGUCGAUGAUAAAAUGAUGUUGCAGUACCAUACACCGGAAGUCACUUUUAGAAGCCGUCUUCCAAUGACUAAAUGAUAAGCAGCAAUGAUCAAAUGCCAUUUGAUUAAUCACCUCCAACUUGCCUCUUCCAAGAAUCUUCCACGAUCAAUUCAUCCACUCCCCAGUCCUCAUAACUUCCAUCAGGGAGGUAGCGCCGGAUGGUGAAAGGUAUUUUCCGCUCGCGGAGUUCCUUCAUUGCAAUCUCAAGUGGGUCAGUCUCACCCUCCAACUCAACCAUUACAGGAGCAUUCAUGCUGAUCUGCAAAGCACGAGUUCCCAAAAUUCUGGCACGCUCAUAUUUAGUCAUAUAUUUUGAUGUUUUACGAGGACGUUCCACAGGUUCUUGUUCUUCUUUAUCCUCAGUUUCAAUGGGUUCCCCAUUAACAUCCUCAUUGUUAUUGUUAUCAACAUCCUCUUCUGCUCCUUCUUCAAUCUCAGGCUCUGGCGGCUCAUCCUCAUAUCCCAUAUCCACAUCAUUGUAGUCGUCGUCUGCCAUGGUUGAAUGUCGAAGACAGAGAGAACUUGUUUCCUUUAAAUCGCUCUGUGCGCAAAGCCCUAAGCAGGGAAAACGAAGCAAAAACCCUUCUGUGUAUUAUC
RNAcentral lists this unclassified non-coding RNA (749 nucleotides) under Hevea brasiliensis (rubber tree). Lineage: Eukaryota; Viridiplantae; Streptophyta; Magnoliopsida; Malpighiales; Euphorbiaceae. The record is from RNAcentral.